This 499-nucleotide ribosomal RNA is filed under the name uncultured bacterium. Its description in RNAcentral is "bacterial SSU rRNA". It matches the Rfam family "Bacterial small subunit ribosomal RNA", at positions 43 to 507 of the family's 1533-position model. The record is from RNAcentral.
CAUGCCUAAGACAUGCAAGUCGAACGAGACGACCUUUGGAAGACUGAGUGCUUGCACAAAGUUAGAAGAAGAUCAUCGUCUAGUGGCAGACGGGUGAGUAACACGUAGGUAACCUACCUCAAGCUGGGGAUAACGUUUGGAAACGAACGCUAAUACCGAAUAAGAUAUAGCAAUAUAUUGAAAGAAGCCUUUAAAGCUUCACUUAGAGAUGGGCCUGCGGCGUAUUAACUAGUUGGUGAGGUAAUGGCUCACCAAGGUAACGAUGCGUAGCCGAACUGAGAGGUUGAACGGCCACACUGGGACUGAGACACGGCCCAGACUCCUACGGGAGACAGCAGUUAGGAAUAUUCGUCAAUGGGGGAAACCCUGAACGAGCAAUGCCGCGUGAGUGAUGAAGGCCCUAUGGGUUGUAAAACUCUGUUGUAUGGGAAGAAUGGCUAUAUUAGGAAAUGAAUAUAGAAUGACGGUACCAUACCAGAAAGCUCCGGCUAACUACGUG